UACGUAGGGUCCGAGCGUUGUCCGGAAUUAUUGGGCGUAAAGGGCUCGUAGGCGGUCUGUUGCGUCGGGUGUGAAAACUUGCAGCUUAACUGUGAGCGUGCUUUCGAUACGGGCAGACUUGAGGUAUUCAGGGGAGAACGGAAUUCCUGGUGUAGCGGUGAAAUGCGCAGAUAUCAGGAGGAACACCGGUGGCGAAGGCGGUUCUCUGGGAAUAUCCUGACGCUGAGGAGCGAAAGUGUGGGGAGCGAACAGG
This 253-nucleotide ribosomal RNA is filed under the name uncultured bacterium. Its description in RNAcentral is "partial 16S ribosomal RNA". It matches the Rfam family "Bacterial small subunit ribosomal RNA", at positions 524 to 776 of the family's 1533-position model. The record is from RNAcentral.